AGCAGCCGCGGUAAUUCCAGCUCCAAUAGCGUAUAUUAAAGUUGUUGCAGUUAAAAAGCUCGUAGUUGAAUUUCGGGGUUAGUAGUUUGGUCGUGCCAAUGGUAUGUACUGGGCUCACUGAUUCCUCCUUCCUGAUGAACUGUAAUGCCAUUAAUUUGGUGUUACAGGGAAACAGGACUGUUACUUUGAAAAAAUUGAGUGUUUAAAGCAAGCUAACGCUUGAAUACAUUAGCAUGGAAUAAUGAAAUAGGACGUUCGAACCUAUUUUGUUGGUUUCUAGGAUUGACGUAAUGAUUAAUAGGGAUAGUUGGGGGCAUUAGUAUUCAAUUGUCAGAGGUGAAAUUCUUGGAUUUAUUGAAGACUAACUACUGCGAAAGCAUUUGCCAAGGAUGUUUUCAUUAAUCAAGAACGAAAGUUAGGGGAUCGAAGACGAUCAGAUACCGUCGUAGUCUUAACCAUAAACUAUGCCGACUAGGGAUCGGAUGAUGUUAAUUUUUAUGUACUUCAUUCGGCGCCUUAC
Molecule: ribosomal RNA, 520 nt
Filed under: uncultured Glomus
Lineage: Eukaryota; Fungi; Glomeromycota; Glomeromycetes; Glomerales; Glomeraceae
Description: SSU rRNA
Rfam family: Eukaryotic small subunit ribosomal RNA
Source: RNAcentral